AACGAACGCUGGCGGCAUGCCUAACACAUGCAAGACGAACGAGACCUUCGGGUCUAGUGGCGCACGGGUGCGUAACGCGUGGGAACCUGCCCUUAGGUUCGGAAUAACUCCCCGAAAGGGGUGCUAAUACCGGAUAAUGGCUUCGGACCAAAGAUUUAUCGCCCUUGGAUGGGCCCGCGUUGGAUUAGCUAGUUGGUAGGGUAAAAGACUACCAAGGCGACGAUCCAUAGCUGGGCUGAGAGGAUGAUCAGCCACACUGGGACUGAGACACGGCCCAGACUCCUACGGGAGGCAGCAGUGGGGAAUAUUGGACAGUGGGCGGAGGCCUGAUCCAGCAAGGCCGGGUGAGUGAUGUAGGCCUUAGGGUUGUAAAGCUCUUUUACCCGGGAUGAUAAUGACGGUACCGGGAGAAUAAGCUCCGGCUAACUCCGUG
RNAcentral lists this ribosomal RNA (433 nucleotides) under uncultured bacterium. RNAcentral's name for it is "partial 16S ribosomal RNA". It matches the Rfam family "Bacterial small subunit ribosomal RNA", at positions 29 to 507 of the family's 1533-position model. The record is from RNAcentral.